This 462-nucleotide ribosomal RNA is filed under the name uncultured bacterium. RNAcentral describes it as "partial 16S ribosomal RNA". It matches the Rfam family "Bacterial small subunit ribosomal RNA", at positions 28 to 507 of the family's 1533-position model. The record is from RNAcentral.
GACGAACGCUGGCGGCGUGCUUAACACAUGCAAGUCGAACGGAAAGGCCCUUCGGGGUACUCGAGUGGCGAACGGGUGAGUAACACGUGGGUGAUCUGCCCUGCACUUUGGGAUAAGCCUGGGAAACUGGGUCUAAUACCGAAUAGGACCACGCGCUUCAUGGUGUGUGGUGGAAAGCUUUUGCGGUGUGGGAUGGGCCCGCGGCCUAUCAGCUUGUUGGUGGGGUAAUGGCCUACCAAGGCGACGCCGGGUAGCCGGCCUGAGAGGGUGACCGGCCACACUGGGACUGAGAUACGGCCCAGACUCCUACGGGAGGCAGCAGUGGGGAUUAUUGCACAAUGGGCGCAAGCCUGAUGCAGCGACGCCGCGUGAGGGAUGACGGCCUUCAGGUUGUAAACCUCUUUCAAUAGAGACGAAGCGCAAGUGACGGUACCUAUAGAAGAAGCACCGGCCAACUACGUG